Penaeus chinensis is the source of this 127-nucleotide small nuclear RNA. RefSeq annotates it as U4atac minor spliceosomal RNA. The record is from RefSeq and is a predicted model, not a curated record. NCBI's taxonomy places the organism in Eukaryota, Metazoa, Arthropoda, Malacostraca, Decapoda, Penaeidae. The transcript has a single exon.
UAAGUCCUUAUCUCGGGGAACGCGCAGGGUCAGUGAUCGUAAUGUGAGCCUCUGUCGUGCUACGCCCAAAGAUAUUAACUCAUAUCGCUGUCCACGUUCCUUAGCGUGGGCUGCAAUUUUUGUAGCC